RNAcentral lists this ribosomal RNA (433 nucleotides) under uncultured bacterium. Its description in RNAcentral is "partial 16S ribosomal RNA". It matches the Rfam family "Bacterial small subunit ribosomal RNA", at positions 39 to 507 of the family's 1533-position model. The record is from RNAcentral.
GGGGGGGGGGGGGGGGGGGGGGGGGGGGGGGGGGGCGGGCGGGGGGGUCGGGGGGGGUGGCGCGCGGGUGGGGGGCGCGUGGGGACCUGCCCUUAGGUUCGGAAUCACUCCCCGACAGGGGUGGUAGUACCGGGUAAUGUCUUCGGACCCAAGGUUUAUCGCCUUUGGAUGGGCCCGCGUUGGAUUAGCUAGUUGGUAGGGUAAAAGCCUACCAAGGCGACGAUCCAUAGCUGGUCUGAGAGGAUGAUCAGCCACACUGGGACUGAGACACGGCCCAGACUCCUACGGGAGGCAGCAGUGGGGAAUAUUGGACAAUGGGCGAAAGCCUGAUCCAGCAAUGCCGCGUGAGUGAUGAAGGCCUUAGGGUUGUAAAGCUCUUUUACCCGGGAUGAUAAUGACAGUACCGGGAGAAUAAGCUCCGGCUAACUCCGUG